AGGCUUAACACAUGCAAGUCGAGGGGCAGCAUGGUCUUAGCUUGCUAAGGCCGAUGGCGACCGGCGCACGGGUGAGUAACACGUAUCCAACCUGCCGUCUACUCUUGGACAGCCUUCUGAAAGGAAGAUUAAUACAAGAUGGCAUCAUGAGUCCGCAUGUUCACAUGAUUAAAGGUAUUCCGGUAGACGAUGGGGAUGCGUUCCAUUAGAUAGUAGGCGGGGUAACGGCCCACCUAGUCUUCGAUGGAUAGGGGUUCUGAGAGGAAGGUCCCCCACAUUGGAACUGAGACACGGUCCAAACUCCUACGGGAGGCAGCGGUGAGGAAUAUUGGUCAAUGGGCGAGAGCCUGAACCAGCCAAGUAGCGUGAAGGAUGACUGCCCUAUGGGUUGUAAACUUCUUUUAUAAAGGAAUAAAGUCGGGUAUGGAUACCCGUUUGCAUGUACUUUAUGAAUAAGGAUCGGCUAACUCCGUGCCAGCAGCCGCGGUAAUACGGAGGAUCCGAGCGUUAUCCGGAUUUAUUGGGUUUAAAGGGAGCGUAGAUGGAUGUUUAAGUCAGUUGUGAAAGUUUGCGGCUCAACCGUAAAAUUGCAGUUGAUACUGGAUAUCUUGAGUGCAGUUGAGGCAGGCGGAAUUCGUGGUGUAGCGGUGAAAUGCUUAGAUAUCACGAAGAACUCCGAUUGCGACGGCAGCCUGCUAAGCUGCAACUGACAUUGAGGCUCGAAAGUGUGGGUAUCAAACAGGAUUAGAUACCCUGGUAGUCCACACGGUAAACGAUGAAUACUCGCUGUUUGCGAUAUACAGCAAGCGGCCAAGCGAAAGCGUUAAGUAUUCCACCUGGGGAGUACGCCGGCAACGGUGAAACUCAAAGGAAUUGACGGGGGCCCGCACAAGCGGAGGAACAUGUGGUUUAAUUCGAUGAUACGCGAGGAACCUUACCCGGGCUUAAAUUGCAGAUGAAUUACGGUGAAAGCUGUAAGCCGCAAGGCAUCUGUGAAGGUGCUGCAUGGUUGUCGUCAGCUCGUGCCGUGAGGUGUCGGCUUAAGUGCCAUAACGAGCGCAACCCUUGUUGUCAGUUACUAACAGGUUCCGCUGAGGACUCUGACAAGACUGCCAUCGUAAGAUGUGAGGAAGGUGGGGAUGACGUCAAAUCAGCACGGCCCUUACGUCCGGGGCUACACACGUGUUACAAUGGGGGGUACAGAGGGCCGCUACCACGCGAGUGGAUGCCAAUCCCAAAAACCUCUCUCAGUUCGGACUGGAGUCUGCAACCCGACUCCACGAAGCUGGAUUCGCUAGUAAUCGCGCAUCAGCCACGGCGCGGUGAAUACGUUCCCGGGCCUUGUACACACCGCCCGUCAAGCCAUGGGAGCCGGGGGUACCUGAAGUGCGUAACCGCGAGGAGCGCCCUAGGGUAAAACUGGUGACUGGGGCUAAGUCAUAACA
Molecule: ribosomal RNA, 1445 nt
Filed under: uncultured bacterium
Lineage: Bacteria
Description: bacterial SSU rRNA
Rfam family: Bacterial small subunit ribosomal RNA
Source: RNAcentral